Long non-coding RNA from Athalia rosae (coleseed sawfly), 732 nucleotides. RefSeq lists it as uncharacterized. The record is from RefSeq and is a predicted model, not a curated record. NCBI's taxonomy places the organism in Eukaryota, Metazoa, Arthropoda, Insecta, Hymenoptera, Athaliidae. The transcript has 2 exons.
UGUAUAAAUAUUUUUCUCACAAAGAUAUCUCUCAAGGGUCACAUAGUUCAAAGCUCUGCCCACAUUAGCAGAUGUCUGUGAUCAAGUCUACGCAGUUUACGGUAAUAAUAGGCGUUGAAUCCAUGAACUUCAUCGAAACUUAGAAAUUGUGGUUUCUCCUGAUUAUUUGAUUAGAUUACCUUGAUAAGAACCCAUAAACGCAAUCCCAACAGAUUUUUUGUUGUAACCGAGCGUAUGGGCUCCUUCACGCGUCCAGCCACUACCCUCGUAAACAUUACCAUCUCCUCCUAUCAGAAACCUAAAAUAAAUUGACAUUCAAUGGGUGGACUUCCCGAAGAGCACAUGACGAAUCGUUGCAUCCAACAAACCGGUUUGUGAAACAGUUUUUGUUUUCCAUGGGAUAAGUUGAGAGCCUACGAAGCUGCAGCUUGGCCCCAAAAUUCUAACAACCUCGAAGCAUUUGCAAAUAUCCAAGAACCAUGUGUUCCUGGUGAACUUAUGGAUAAGGAGUGAUAUGAAUAUGCAAAUAUUAACACAUCUUGUAUUUUUCUAAGAACAAUCAAAUUAUUGAUGUAAUGUCGUUUGGAAUGAGGGUGUUUUCCAUGAUAUUUUAAAGCGGUAGACACGAUACCAAACUUAUGUGUAAAUAUGAAUCUACAUCAUGUCUAUUAUAAUAUUGGAAUUUGUACUUUUAACGGUUGAUUUCAUAAUAAAUAUUCACUAGUGCCGAUA